RNAcentral lists this ribosomal RNA (468 nucleotides) under uncultured bacterium. RNAcentral describes it as "partial 16S ribosomal RNA". It matches the Rfam family "Bacterial small subunit ribosomal RNA", at positions 28 to 507 of the family's 1533-position model. The record is from RNAcentral.
GACGAACGCUGGCGGCGUGCUUAACACAUGCAAGUCGAACGGAAAAGCCCUGCUUUUGUGGGGGGCUCGAGUGGCGAACGGAUGGGUAACGCGUGAGUAACCUGCCCUUGACUUUGGGAUAACUUAAGGAAACUGGGGCUAAUACCGGAUAGGAGCUCCUGCUUCAUGGGGGGGGUUGGAAAGUUUCGGCGGUUGGGGUGGGACUGGCGGCUUGUCAGCUGGUUGGGGGGGUAGUGGCUUACCGAGGCUUUGACGGGGGGACGGGCUGAGCGGGUGACCGGCCACAGUGGGACUGAGAUACGGCCCAGACUGCUGCGGGAGGGAGCAGUGGGGAAUAUUGCACAAUGGGCGGAGGCGUGAUGCAGCAACGCCGCGUGCGGGAUGAAGGCCUUCGGGUUGUAAACCGCGUUCGCCUGUGAUGAAGCGUGAGUGGCGGUAAUGGGUAAAGAAGGACCGGCUAACUAAGUG